Molecule: ribosomal RNA, 253 nt
Filed under: uncultured bacterium
Lineage: Bacteria
Description: partial 16S ribosomal RNA
Rfam family: Bacterial small subunit ribosomal RNA
Source: RNAcentral
UACGUAGGAGGCGAGCGUUGUCCGGAAUUAUUGGGCGUAAAGAGCUCGUAGGCGGCCUGUCGCGUCUGCUGUGAAAUCCCGGGGCUCAACCCCGGGCCUGCAGUGGAUACGGGCUGGCUGGAGGCAGGCAGGGGAGAACGGAAUUCCUGGUGUAGCGGUGAAAUGCGCAGAUAUCAGGAGGAACACCGGUGGCGAAGGCGGUUCUCUGGGCCUGUUCUGACGCUGAGGAGCGAAAGCGUGGGGAGCGAACAGG